UAUACAAUAGCUUUGGGUGGAUGCCUAGGCAGAGCAACAAAGGACGUACCAUACAACGAAAAGUUACGGGGAGGUGCUCUACUCUUUGGAGGUCCCAGUGAUCCGUAGAUUUCCUCUUGGAAAACCAAUAUUUUUAAUACUUAGUGAAUUGAAACAUCUUAGUAGCUAAAGGAAAAAAAAUCAACCGAGAUUCCGUAAGUAGUGGUGAAUGAAAGCGGAAAAGGCCAACUUUGAGUUGUUUACAUGAAAAGGAUACAAAAAAACGUAUCUUUUUAGGUAGCGAGUAGUGUUAAAGUGUUCGAUAAGAAAGACUGUAAAAAGAUACGGAGACUUGCUGUUUUUUAAAUAUAAAACUAUUUUGGAAAAAGUUGCCAAAGAAGGUGAAAGCCCUGUAAAAAAAGCGUGUAAAUACAAAUAUACAAAGUUUAUGCAAUGAGUAAAACGAGAAUUUUUCUUGUUUGAAGUUAGGGGGACCACCCUCUAAGCCUAAAUAUUGUUGUUCUGACCGAUAGCGAACAAGUACCGUGAGGGAAAGGUGAAAAGAACCCCAAAAGGGGAGUGAAAUAGACUCCUGAAAUCCAAAGCUUACAAACAGUUGAAGCUUUCUUUGGUUUUUUUUACACUAAACAAAAAAGAGAGUAACAGCGUACCUUUUGUAUAAUGGGUCAGCGAGUAAAUCAAUAAAGCUAGCUUAAGCCGUUAGGUGGAGGCGUAGUGAAAACAAGUCUAAAGAAGGCUCCUUAAAGUGUCUCAGUUGAAAAAAUGAAAAAUGAAAAAUGAAAAAAGAAUGUUUUCUUUUUUUUGUUAUACUUUGUGAUAUGUUUUAUUGAUUUGACCCGAAACCGGGUGAUCUAGCCAUGAGCAGGUUGAAGAAAGGAUAACACCUUUUGGAGGACCGAACCCACGUCUGUGGCAAUAGGCGGGGAUGACUUGUGGUUAGGGGUGAAAAGCCAAUCGAACUCGGAUAUAGCUGGUUUUCUACGAAAUCUAUUGAGGUAGAGCGUUAUCUCGAAAAAAAGGGGGUAGAGCACUCGAUGGGCAAGGGUGGCCCAAAGCUUUACCGAUCCCAAGGAAACUCCGAAUACCUUUUUUUGAAGAUAGCAGACAGACUUUGGGCGCUAAGGUCCAAAGUCGAAAGGGAAAAAGCCCAGAUCGUACGCUAAGGUCCCUAAACACUUACUUAGUGGGAAAGGAUGUGAUACAGCAUUGACAACCAGGAGGUGGGCUUGGAAGCAGCCAUCCUUUGAAGAAAGCGUAAUAGCUCACUGGUCUAGUUAAAUUGCACCGAAAAUGUAACGGGGCUCAAGUAAGUUACCGAAGCGACGACAUUCUUGUUUUCUUUUUUUCUUUUGUGUAAAAUGGUAACCGGUGGGUUAUAAUAACUUGCAUAGCAGGGGAUACGACCAAAAAGAAUGGGUAAUAGCAGACCAAAAAGAAUGGGUAGUAGAACGUUCUGUAAAUUAUCGAAGGUGUAUCGACAGAUAUUACUGGAAAAAUCAGAAGUGAGAAUGCUGACAUGAGUAACGAUAAAUCUUGUGAAAUUCAAGAUCGCCGUAAGUUUGAGGUUUUCCACAGACCGUAAAUCGGUGUGGAUUUAAUCGGCCCCUAAAAAAAGAGCGAAAGCUGCAACCUAUUUUUUCAUUGAAAAAAGAAUUGAUGGGUAAGAAAGAUUAUAGAUUCUUUCUAUCUUUGUAAGUGACGAAACAAUCCAAAGAGUUUUGUAUAAUUGUAUAAAAGAAUCUCUUCUUGAGGAGAUUUCCAGGAAAAAACUUACAAAUAACAGAAACUAAAAACUUUGUUUUAUAUUUUUUGUUUACAGACCGUACUUAAACCAACACAGGUAAACUAGUUUUCAACUAAGGCGAUUGAGACAACCAUGUUGAAGGAACUCGGCAAAAUACCUCCGUAACUUCGGGAAAAGGAGGACCCUCUUUAAAAGAGACUAGAGAGGGUGGCACAGAAUAGGGGGUGGCGACUGUUUACUAAAAACACAGGACUCUGCAAAGUGGUAACACUAAGUAUAGGGUCUGACGCCUGCCCGGUGCUGGAAACUUAAGGGGAAAGGUAAGGUGUCAUUUUAAUGGCAUCGAGCUUUAAACUAAAGGCCCAGUAAACGGCAGCCGUAACUCUGACGGUUCUAAGGUAGCGAAAUUCCUUGACACCUAAUUAGUGCCCUGCAUGAAUGGCGUCACGACUGCCCCACUGUCUCCAACAUGGACUCAGUGAAAUUGAAUUCUCCGUGAAGAUGCGGAGUACCCGAAAAAAGACGGUAAGACCCUAUGCACCUUUACUAUAGCCUACCAUUGAAAGAAGAAUUCAAAUGUGUAGAAUAGGUGGGAGUACCGUCAAAAAAAUAAUAUUUUUUUGACUGUACAACUUUGAAAUACCACCCUUUUGUUUUAUUCUUUCUUAACCCUUUAAGUGGGAACAGUGGUUGGUGGGUAGUUUGACUGGGGCGGUCAUUUCCUAAAGAGUAACGGAAAUGUGCGAAGGUAAGCUCAGCCUGGUCGGAAACCAGGUACAGAGCGCAAUGGUAUAAGCUUGCCUGACUGUGAGACUUACAAGUCGAACAGGGACGAAAGUCGGCCAUAGUGACCCGGGAGCACCGUGUGGAAGGGCUCUCGAUCAACGGAUCAAAGGUACGCUAGGGAUAACAGGCUGAUGACUCCCAAGAGCUCAUAUCGACGGAGUCGUUUGGCACCUCGAUGUCGACUCAUCAUAUCCUGGAGCUGCAGAAGGUUCCAAGGGUUCGGCUGUUCGCCGAUUAAAAUGGUACGUGAGUUGGGUUUAGUGCGUUGAGAAACAGUACGGAUCCUAUCUUUUUCGGGUGUAUUACAAAUUGAGAGAACCAUUCCUUUGUACGAGAGGACCGGGAAUGAUAAACCUCUGGUUUACUAGUUGUCACAACAGUGGCAUAGCUAGGUAGCUACGUUUAGAUUAAAUAACUGCUGAAAGCAUCUAAAGCAGGAAAUUAUUUCUCAAAACAAGUUUCAAUAGUCGUGGAAGAUUACCACGUGAUAGGCGAGAGGUGUAAAAAUAGCAAUAUUUGAGCCUACUCGUACUAAAAUACUAAAAAACUUUGUAUCU
RNAcentral lists this ribosomal RNA (3087 nucleotides) under Trebouxia aggregata. RNAcentral describes it as "large subunit ribosomal RNA". It matches the Rfam family "Bacterial large subunit ribosomal RNA". The record is from RNAcentral. Lineage: Eukaryota; Viridiplantae; Chlorophyta; Trebouxiophyceae; Trebouxiales; Trebouxiaceae.